This 77-nucleotide transfer RNA is filed under the name Omnitrophica bacterium RIFCSPLOWO2_01_FULL_45_10. RNAcentral describes it as "tRNA-Val". It matches the Rfam family "tRNA". From Rfam's summary of the family: Transfer RNA (tRNA) molecules are approximately 80 nucleotides in length. Their secondary structure includes four short double-helical elements and three loops (D, anti-codon, and T loops). Further hydrogen bonds mediate the characteristic L-shaped molecular structure. tRNAs have two regions of fundamental functional importance: the anti-codon, which is responsible for specific mRNA codon recognition, and the 3' end, to which the tRNAs corresponding amino acid is attached (by aminoacyl-tRNA synthetases). tRNAs cope with the degeneracy of the genetic code in two manners: having more than one tRNA (with a specific anti-codon) for a particular amino acid; and 'wobble' base-pairing, i.e. permitting non-standard base-pairing at the 3rd anti-codon position. The record is from RNAcentral. Lineage: Bacteria; Pseudomonadati; Candidatus Omnitrophota.
GGACGGUUAGCUCAGUUGGUUAGAGCGCUGCGCUCACAUCGCAGAGGUCGUAGGUUCAAAUCCUACAUCGUCCACCA